UGGAGGGGGAGGAGGAGGGGGAGGAGCAGGAGGCGGAGGAGGACCAGGACCAGGAGCAGGAGCACGUUGCAAGACCGGACUGAUGAGAGCCGCCGGCAUGCGCUGCGCCGGAUGCGGUGGCGGCGGCGGCGGCGGCGGUGGCAACAUCAACGGUGAUGACGGCGGCGUCGCCACCGGCACUGCCGUCGCGACGGCGGCCAUGAGGCGCUCCAGGUGCGCCUCCACAAGGAUCGCUGGCGGCCUGUUUUGGGGCUGACGUUGCAAGCAAUGAAGCGCCACUGCCCGGUAGGUCUCCGGGCACGAGGGUGGGAAGGCGGGGAAGAUGCUGCUAUAGCGGGGGCCUUGGUCGGUGCGGAUGCCGGCGCGGCGGCCGUGGUAGAGCUCCCAUAGCAUCACACCCAGCGAGAACACUUGNNNNNNNNNNNNNNNNNNNNNNNNNNNNNNNNNNNNNNNNNNNNNNNNNNAGCCUCAUUCAGCCCCCCAUCCUGAGUGUACGGCACUUGUGCCGGCGACAACACACAAUGCGACAACGGCACCUCCGCUCUGGCAUUGCGCGACGUUGAGCAACGUCGCACCGAGGGCCACCACCGCCACCACACACACCGCCCAGCCACAGCUACAGCCACAGCCACAGAUGGAAAGGUAUAACCAACAGCCUGCCGCUCUCACUCCAAAGAACAACUCCCAGAAAUCUAUAUUCAAACGAUUUCAUUCAUUAUAUUUUAUAUAAUUUAUAUUUUCCUCCUCGUACAUCGUUUCCAUCCUUGUAUAUAAGCUUCUGUCCGUUGCCGGAUAAUAAUAAUAAAAACCAACCUCUGCAACCAUUAAUUAACAGCUCCCCGCCACCUGUAAACUCCGUCCCGAGCGGAGCGACGAGCCGAUCAACACCUUUUCCUCGAAGUGUGAAGAUUCCAGAGAGAUUCGUUGCUUUUACGGCAGUGCCGUACCGUACACGUCACCACAUCAAACAUGCUGCGUGAUUCCUGAUUGCUGGAUCUGGACCUGAAUCUGGAAUCUACGUAGCCUGACUCACCUUUUUGAGUUUUAAACAUACAUCGCCUGGAUCUGGAUUUCGAUCUGGAACUGAAUCCUGCCAGGAUGCACCCGUACACAAUCUUUGCCUGUCUUCCCCGCCCAUCUCCGCCCAUCGGCGCGCAGAUUUAUACCACAGAUAAACUACUGUUCACAUAAUCUCUAUAUAUAGUAUAGCCGUUUUGGUGAUGUGUACGUCGUUGUACGUCGGCGGCGGGCCAGAUGGGCCCCCUAGAUUUUCGUUCCGUCGUAUGUAUGUAUGUAUGUAUGUCUUACGCACUGCUGGCCCCGGCUCCGUGACCUUGCGUCGACGGCAGCAUACUCGACCCCGUGAAGGAGUCCCCUGCUGCUCCUGUCGCUAGAGAGCCCAGCUCUGGAGGGGGAGGAGGAGGGGGAGGAGCAGGAGGCGGAGGAGGACCAGGAGCACGUUGCAAGACCGGACUGAUGAGAGCCGCCGGCAUGCGCUGCGGCGGAUGCGGCGGCGGCGGCGGCGGUGGCAACAUCAACGGUGAUGACGGCGGCGUCGCCACCGGCACUGCCGUCGCGACGGCGGGCAUGAGGCGCUCCAGGUGCGCCUCCACAAGGAUCGCUGGCGGCCUGUUUUGGGGCUGACGUUGCAGGCAGUGAAGCGCCACUGCCCGGUAGGUCUCCGGGCACGAGGGUGGGAAGGCGGGGAAGAUGCUGCUAUACCGGGGACCUUGGUCGGUGCAGAUGCCGGCGCGGCGGCCGUGGUAGAGCUCCCAUAGCAUCACACCCAGCGAGAACACUUGGGUGGUUGCAUGUAUGUAUGUGUGUGUGGGGGGGUAGGUUUGUGUGUUGUGUGUGGNGNGGGGAGGUAGGGGUAUAGCGGUGUAGUGAUGUAGACGACGACAAGCGGGACGG
This 1914-nucleotide long non-coding RNA is filed under the name Volvox carteri. Its description in RNAcentral is "long non-coding RNA (VCAR_LNC003704)". The record is from RNAcentral. Lineage: Eukaryota; Viridiplantae; Chlorophyta; Chlorophyceae; Chlamydomonadales; Volvocaceae.